AUGAAGAUCGUGCCCCAUAUUCUGAAGGAUGAGCCAUCCAUGAAGAGUAGCUCGUGGUCCCUUUUUCCCAUGUACCCCAUUCAAAUCCAAUAUUAUGUUACCAAGAGGAAUCUGUUAAGCCUGAGGCUCACAGCUGUCAUCCUCACCACCCUGAGCUGGCUCAUCAUGCUUGUGAUCUGCAUCCACCCCAGGUGGAUCACCCUAGAAAAUUCCCGCAAGGAAUUAUGGCAAAACAUAACCUUGAACUUUGCUCUCUGGGACAACUGCGUCCAGUGCUUGAACCCCAACGACCUGUCAGUUUACCUCUUCCUCUCUCGAGGGAUCAUUUUUCUGAACCUGGUCUUCACCUCCCUCCUCAUUCUCUCCAUGAUAUGCUCCUUUCGAAGAAUAUUCAGUCGUGUUUCCAGGCUGGACUUUGUCUUCUCCAUUGCCAACUACGUCUCAGGCACCAUCUGUCUCAAGAGUCACAAAUAUACCUGGAAUAUAUCAUACCUCUCUCCUAAGGAUCUGUUUGCCAAAUCAGAGAAACAGAAGCGAUGUGGAAGCUCAUGGCAGCAAUCAACCGCAUCAGUCAUCCCUCAAGAGAGAACCACCUCAUCUGCAGUCAUCAACCAAGACAUAUCCAUCACCUCCAUACUCAACUCCUAG
Molecule: long non-coding RNA, 648 nt
Filed under: Phascolarctos cinereus (koala)
Lineage: Eukaryota; Metazoa; Chordata; Mammalia; Diprotodontia; Phascolarctidae
Description: lncRNA (ENSPCIG00000026295.2)
Source: RNAcentral